GGACAUUAGUAGUGGGAAUAAAAACGCGCGGUCGAUCAGAAACUACCACAACAGCCAAGAUGCAUUGGUUCUUACUAUUGUGUGCUGUGGUCGUAGUGAUUGUCGGAGUUAUGGCGGACGAUGAUUAUACCAGCAGUUACGCCGAGCUGGCGUCUCCAGUUCCCCCGAGCGUCAACGUUGAUGAGCUGGUGGCCAGUCUCCGUGCAGCGAGCAACCUUCCCUGAUUCUAACAGCCCAAUCUCCCACUAAAUCAAUUGGAAACCGAGAUCGAAAUGGUAUAAAUCGGCUCUGUAGGUUAAUGGUUAUUUAUUAAAGUAUGAAGCGUGUUUUGUCAUAUAA
Long non-coding RNA from Leptidea sinapis, 339 nucleotides. RefSeq lists it as uncharacterized. The transcript is spliced from 2 exons. Lineage: Eukaryota; Metazoa; Arthropoda; Insecta; Lepidoptera; Pieridae. The record is from RefSeq and is a predicted model, not a curated record.